GCAGUCGAGCGGACAGAAGGGAGCUUGCUCCCGGAUGUUAGCGGCGGACGGGUGAGUAACACGUGGGUAACCUGCCUGUAAGACUGGGAUAACUCCGGGAAACCGGAGCUAAUACCGGAUAGUUCCUUGAACCGCAUGGUUCAAGGAUGAAAGACGGUUUCGGCUGUCACUUACAGAUGGACCCGCGGCGCAUUAGCUAGUUGGUGAGGUAACGGCUCACCAAGGCGACGAUGCGUAGCCGACCUGAGAGGGUGAUCGGCCACACUGGGACUGAGACACGGCCCAGACUCCUACGGGAGGCAGCAGUAGGGAAUCUUCCGCAAUGGACGAAAGUCUGACGGAGCAACGCCGCGUGAGUGAUGAAGGUUUUCGGAUCGUAAAGCUCUGUUGUUAGGGAAGAACAAGUGCAAGAGUAACUGCUUGCACCUUGACGGUACCUAACCAGAAAGCCACGGCUAACUACGUGCCAGCAGCCGCGGUAAUACGUAGGUGGCAAGCGUUGUCCGGAAUUAUUGGGCGUAAAGGGCUCGCAGGCGGUUUCUUAAGUCUGAUGUGAAAGCCCCCGGCUCAACCGGGGAGGGUCAUUGGAAACUGGGAAACUUGAGUGCAGAAGAGGAGAGUGGAAUUCCACGUGUAGCGGUGAAAUGCGUAGAGAUGUGGAGGAACACCAGUGGCGAAGGCGACUCUCUGGUCUGUAACUGACGCUGAGGAGCGAAAGCGUGGGGAGCGAACAGGAUUAGAUACCCUGGUAGUCCACGCCGUAAACGAUGAGUGCUAAGUGUUAGGGGGUUUCCGCCCCUUAGUGCUGCAGCUAACGCAUUAAGCACUCCGCCUGGGGAGUACGGUCGCAAGACUGAAACUCAAAGGAAUUGACGGGGGCCCGCACAAGCGGUGGAGCAUGUGGUUUAAUUC
RNAcentral lists this ribosomal RNA (912 nucleotides) under Bacillus aerius. RNAcentral describes it as "bacterial SSU rRNA". It matches the Rfam family "Bacterial small subunit ribosomal RNA", at positions 57 to 952 of the family's 1533-position model. The record is from RNAcentral. Lineage: Bacteria; Bacillati; Bacillota; Bacilli; Caryophanales; Bacillaceae.